GUGAACUCUUCUGUCCACAUGAGCCCCUGGCCUUGAGUGGGAUAGAUGGUGAGCCCCGAGGAAGAAUUGCUUUGGGCCUCCUUGCCCCAGGCCAGUGUCCAUCAGCCAGGUGCCCAGCCCCCGGUGCACUGACGCUCAGACCCUCCUGGUGUCCCAGUCUCCUGCACUGAGCUGUGUGAGCUCUUCUGCCCAGCAGACUCUUGGCAUUGACCAGCAUAGGGGUCUGGGAUGUGGAUGAGGACCCAGCAGAGAAAGCAUGUGGCCCUGGGCCCCAGACUGCGAUUUCUGAUGGUGACCCCAGAGGAAGACUUGCGUUGUGCCCACUGGACCCAGGCCAGUGGCCAGUAGCCAAACCCCUGUUGAGCUGAAGCUCAGGCCCUCCUGGGUCCUGGUCUCCUGCAUUGAGCUUGUGAGCUCUUCUGCCCAGCAGACGCCCUGGCAGUGACCAGCAUAGAUGGUGACCCCAGAGGAAGACUUGCAUUGUGCCCGCUGGCCCCGGGCCAGCGGCCGUGAGCCAGUUGCCCAACCCCUGUUGCGCUGAAGCUCAGGCCCUCCUGGGCCCUGGUCUCCUGCAUUGAGCUUGUGAGCUCUUCUGCCCAGCAGACUCUUGGCAUUGACCAGCAUAGAGAGGGGUGGGCAGUUGGGCCCAUGGGGUCAGGCUGUGGAAAUUCAAGGAUCACACCCCACUCAUGGCCCUCAAUGCGAAUGACCCUGUUGAGCAAUGGGCGACCCCAGUGGCGCUUCCUGGAACCUGGUGAGUGGCAGCUUGGCUUCAACUGGUUGGGUCAAAGCUGAGCCAUGGCUGGUGCUUCAUGGUGCUCCAGGCUGGCCCUGGGAUCAUGGGCUUUGGGUCAAGGGUGCAGCCCGCCUGCUGCUGGGGGUCACCCUUUCCUCGAGGUCAAGGGUGGGAUGGGUUGCGUCCAGAGGUUUGAAGGCCCCCUCGUAAGGGACCUGUCCCAGGAAUUUGUUGCCCAGGCUGCUUCUGAGCCAUGGGGUCACCUCCAGGGUGGCAGGGUCUUGGGCCCAAGGAAAGGAGGGGGCACCAUGUGGCUCCUGAUUGGCCAAGUGUGGUCCAGCUCUGUGUUUGACAGGGGUCUGGGAUGUGGAUGAGGACCCAGCAGAGAAAGCAUGUGGCCCUGGGCCCCAGGCUGCGAUUUCUGAUGGUGACCCCAGAGGAAGACUUGCGUUGUGCCCACUGGACCCAGGCCAGUGGCCAGUAGCCAAACCCCUGUUGAGCUGAAGCUCAGGCCCUCCUGGGUCCUGGUCUCCUGCAUUGAGCUUGUGAGCCCCUCUGCCCAGCAGACCCCCUGCAGUGACCAGCAUAGAUGGUGACCCCAGAGGAAGACUUGCGUUGUGCCCACUGGACCCAGGCCAGUGGCCAGUUGCCAAACCCCUGUUGAGCUGAAGUUCAGGCCCUCCUGGGUCCUGGUCUCCUGCAUUGAGCUUGUGAGCCCCUCUGCCCAGCAGACCCCCUGCAGUGACCAGCAUAGAUGGUGACCCCAGAGGAAGACUUGCGUUGUGCCCACUGGACCCAGGCCAGUGGCCAGUUGCCAAACCCCUGUUGAGCUGAAGUUCAGGCCCUCCUGGGUCCUGGUCUCCUGCAUUGAGCUUGUGAGCCCCUCUGCCCAGCAGACCCCUGCAGUGACCAGCAUAGAUGGUGACCCCAGAGGAAGACUUGCGUUGUGCCCACUGGACCCAGGCCAGUGGCCAGUUGCCAAACCCCUGUUGAGCUGAAGUUCAGGCCCUCCUGGGUCCUGGUCUCCUGCAUUGAGCUUGUGAGCCCCUCUGCCCAGCAGACCCCCUGCAGUGACCAGCAUAGAUGGUGACCCCAGAGGAAGACUUGCGUUGUGCCCACUGGACCCAGGCCAGUGGCCAGUUGCCAAACCCCUGUUGAGCUGAAGUUCAGGCCCUCCUGGGUCCUGGUCUCCUGCAUUGAGCUUGUGAGCCCCUCUGCCCAGCAGACCCCCUGCAGUGACCAGCAUAGAUGGUGACCCCAGAGGAAGACUUGCGUUGUGCCCACUGGACCCAGGCCAGUAGCCAGUUGCCAAACCCCUGCUGAGCUGAAGCUCAGGCCCUCCUGGGUCCUGGUCUCCUGCAUUGAGCUUGUGAGCCCCUCUGCCCAGCAGACCCCCUGCAGUGACCAGCAUAGAUGGUGACCCCAGAGGAAGACUUGCGUUGUGCCCACUGGACCCAGGCCAGUGGCCAGUUGCCAAACCCCUGUUGAGCUGAAGUUCAGGCCCUCCUGGGUCCUGGUCUCCUGCAUUGAGCUUGUGAGCCCCUCUGCCCAGCAGACCCCCUGCAGUGACCAGCAUAGAUGGUGACCCCAGAGGAAGACUUGCGUUGUGCCCACUGGACCCAGGCCAGUAGCCAGUUGCCAAACCCCUGCUGAGCUGAAGCUCAGGCCCUCCUGGGUCCUGGUCUCCUGCAUUGAGCUUGUGAGCCCUUCUGCCCAGCACACCCCCUGGCAGUGACCAGCAUAGAUGGUGACCCCAGAGGAAGACUUGCGUUGUGCCCACUGGACCCAGGCCAGUGGCCAGUUGCCAAACCCCCGUUGAGCUGAAGCUCAGGCCCUCCUGGGUCCUGGUCUCCUGCAUUGAGCUUGUGAGCCCUUCUGCCCAGCAGACCCCCUGGCAGUGACCAGCAUAGAUGGUGACCCCAGAGGAAGACUUGCAUUGUGCCCGCUGGCCCCAGGCCAGCGGCCGUGAGCCAGUUGCCCAACCCCUGUUGCGCUGAAGCUCAGGCCCUCCUGGGCCCUGGUCUCCUGCAUUGAGCUUGUGAGCUCUUCUGCCCAGCAGACCCCCUGGCAUUGACCAGCAUAGUGAGCUCUUCUGCCCAGGGUUCAGUGGCCAAGGGUUCCUUGCGUUUGUGACCAUCAUGGUUUUACAUGGAUCUCAUCUCAUGAGUCCAUGGAGGAAGAGCAUGUGUGAGCCAGCCCCACCCUGCCCACUUUCCUGCAUGGAGACAUGAGGCUCUGUUUGGACACCUGUCCCCCACCCCUCCAGAUGGUGACCCCAGAGGAAGACUUACAUUGGGCCUGCUGGCUCUGGCCCAGUGUCUCUCAGCCAGGUGCUCAGCCCCUGGUGAGCUGAAGCUCAGGCCCUUCCUGGCACCCUGGUCUGCUGCACUGAGCUGCGGGUUCAGUGUUGAGAGAGCAUUGGGUGCCCUGUGUCCGAGACGAGCCAGUGGUCUGCAUGGAUCCCAUCACAUGGGUCCAUGGAGGAUGUUGAGGCUGGAGGAAGACUUGAAUUGGGCCCAAUGGCCCCAGGCCAUUGUCCAUCAGCUAGGUGUCCAGCCCCUGGUGCACUGAACAUUCAACACUUCCUGGCACCCUGGUGUCCUGCACUGAGCUGUGUGAGUUCUUCCACCCAGGCGGGCACCCUGGCAUUGACCAGCAUAGAUGGUGACCAGAGAGGAAGACUUGCAUUGCGCCUGCUAGCCCCAGGCCAGUGGCCAUCAGCCAGGUGCCCAGCCCCUGGUGAGCUGAAGCUUGCGCCCUACUGGGCCCUGGUCUCCUGCAUUGAACUUGGUGAGCACAUUAGGGUCCCACUGGAUGCAUGUGUUGGGAGGGGGUGCCCUGGGUUGGGUCGAUGAUGAGAACCUUAUAUUGUCUGAAGAGAGGUGAUGACUUAAAAAUCAUGCUCAAUAGGAUUACGCUGAGGCCCAGCCUGGGUGAGAAUUUUGGAGGAUUCUGGGAAUUACAAGUUCCCCGGCAGGAGCACUGUAUUUUGGGCUGGAGACCUGGAGGCUCUGAGGUCAUCUAGAGAGUGCCCAACCCUGUCUCUGCGCUCCUCCGUGAGGCAGCCAGGCUCACUAUGUGGGCUUGGUGUCGGCCCUCCCCUUACCUGGGGGCAGGGUACUUUGGUGGCUC
Molecule: non-coding RNA, 3868 nt
Organism: Macaca mulatta (Rhesus monkey)
Lineage: Eukaryota; Metazoa; Chordata; Mammalia; Primates; Cercopithecidae
Source: RefSeq, a predicted model, not a curated record